RNAcentral lists this long non-coding RNA (351 nucleotides) under Chinchilla lanigera (long-tailed chinchilla). Its description in RNAcentral is "lncRNA (ENSCLAG00000028495.1)". Lineage: Eukaryota; Metazoa; Chordata; Mammalia; Rodentia; Chinchillidae. The record is from RNAcentral.
UGUGGGGCCAGGAAGAGCGGAGGAUGGGAGGCCGGUGCGGUGCUGGCCGCAGCAGUCCCAGCUGGCUGAGCAGAGCUGGGCAAGACCGAGCGACUGUGUCUCCGUGUGCAUGUAAAAGCCUAGAAGACAGUAUACAGCUUCCAAAACUCCAACACUUUUAAAAUUAAAAUGGAGAGCCAGGCAUGGUGGCACACGCCUGUAAUCCCAGCACUCGGGAGGCUGAGGCAGGAGGAUCUUUCUGAGUUCGAGACCAGCAUAGGCUACAAAGUGAGCUCAAUGCCAGCCUGAACUGCACAGCGAGACCUUGUCUCCAAAAGACUAAAUAAAUAAAUAAAUAAAAUUAAAACGGUA